GGACGAACGCUGGCGGCGUGCUUAACACAUGCAAGUCGAGCGAUGAAGCUUCUUCGGAAGUGGAUUAGCGGCGGACGGGUGAGUAACACGUGGGUAACCUGCCUCAUAGAGGGGAAUAGCCUUCCGAAAGGAAGAUUAAUACCGCAUAAGAUUGUAAUAUCGCAUGAUAUAGCAAUUAAAGGAGCAAUCCGCUAUGAGAUGGACCCGCGUCGCAUUAGCUAGUUGGUGAGGUAACGGCUCACCAAGGCGACGAUGCGUAGCCGACCUGAGAGGGUGAUCGGCCACAUUGGGACUGAGACACGGCCCAGACUCCUACGGGAGGCAGCAGUGGGGAAUAUUGCACAAUGGGGGAAACCCUGAUGCAGACCAACGCCGCGUGAGUGAUGACGGUCUUCGGAUUGUAAAGCUCUGUCUUCAGGGACGAUAAUGACGGUACCUGAGGAGGAAGCCACGGCUAACUACGUGCCAGCCGCUGC
This 476-nucleotide ribosomal RNA is filed under the name uncultured bacterium. RNAcentral's name for it is "bacterial SSU rRNA". It matches the Rfam family "Bacterial small subunit ribosomal RNA", at positions 27 to 518 of the family's 1533-position model. The record is from RNAcentral.